Molecule: ribosomal RNA, 491 nt
Filed under: uncultured bacterium
Lineage: Bacteria
Description: partial 16S ribosomal RNA
Rfam family: Bacterial small subunit ribosomal RNA
Source: RNAcentral
CGCUGGCGGCGUGCCUAAUACCUGCAAGUCGAGCGAACAGACGAGGAGCUUGCUCCUCUGACGUUAGCGGCGGACGGGUGAGUAACACGUGGAUAACCUACCUAUAAGACUGGGAUAACUUCGGGAAACCGGAGCUAAUACCGGAUAAUAUAUUGAACCGCAUGGUUCAAUAGUGAAAGACGGUUUUGCUGUCACUUAUAGAUGGAUCCGCGCCGCAUUAGCUAGUUGGUAAGGUAACGGCUUACCAAGGCGACGAUGCGUAGCCGACCUGAGAGGGUGAUCGGCCACACUGGAACUGAGACACGGUCCAGACUCCUACGGGAGGCAGCAGUAGGGAAUCUUCCGCAAUGGGCGAAAGCCUGACGGAGCAACGCCGCGUGAGUGAUGAAGGUCUUCGGAUCGUAAAACUCUGUUAUUAGGGAAGAACAAAUGUGUAAGUAACUAUGCACGUCUUGACGGUACCUAAUCAGAAAGCCACGGCUAACUACGUG